RNAcentral lists this ribosomal RNA (450 nucleotides) under uncultured Archaeospora. RNAcentral describes it as "SSU rRNA". It matches the Rfam family "Eukaryotic small subunit ribosomal RNA", at positions 569 to 1022 of the family's 1831-position model. Lineage: Eukaryota; Fungi; Glomeromycota; Glomeromycetes; Archaeosporales; Archaeosporaceae. The record is from RNAcentral.
AGCAGCCGCGGUAAUUCCAGCUCCAAUAGCGUAUAUUAAAGUUGUUGCAGUUAAAAAGCUCGUAGUUGAAUUUUAGGCCUGGCCGGACGGUCCGUCUUUGGCGAGAACUGUUCUGUUGUCGGGUCUUCCUUCUGGUGAACCAGUAUGCCCUUAAUUGGGUGUGUUGGGGAGCCAGGACCAUUACCUUGAAAAAUUAGAGUGUUUAAAGCGGGCUAUUGCUUGAAUAGAUUAGCAUGGAAUAAUAGAAUAGGACGUUGUGGUUCUAUUUUGUUGGUUUCUAGGACCACCGUAAUGAUUAAUAGGGAUAGUUGGGGGCAUUAGUAUUCAAUUGUCAGAGGUGAAAUUCUUGGAUUUAUUGAAGACUAACUAUUGCGAAAGCAUUUGCCAAGGAUGUUUUCAUUAAUCAAGAACGAAAGUUAGGGGAAUCGAAGACGAUCAGAUACCGUCGUA